GACGAACGCUGGCGGCGUGCUUAACACAUGCAAGUCGAACGGAAAGGCCCUGCUUUUGUGGGGUGCUCGAGUGGCGAACGGGUGAGUAACACGUGAGUAACCUGCCCUUGACUUUGGGAUAACUUCAGGAAACUGGGGCUAAUACCGCAUAUGAGCUCUUGCUGCACGGUGGGGGUUGGAAAGUUUCGGCGGUUGGGGAUGGACUCGCGGCUUAUCAGCUUGUUGGUGGGGUAGUGGCUUACCAAGGCUUUGACGGGUAGCCGGCCUGAGAGGGUGACCGGCCACAUUGGGACUGAGAUACGGCCCAGACGCCUACGGGAGGCAGCAGUGGGGAGUAUUGCACAAUGGGCGGAAGCCUGAUGCAGCAACGCCGCGUGCGGGAUGACGGCCUUCGGGUUGUAAACCGCUUUCGCCUGUGACGAAGCGUGAGUGACGGUAAUGGGUAAAGAAGCACCGGCUAACUACGUG
Molecule: ribosomal RNA, 468 nt
Filed under: uncultured bacterium
Lineage: Bacteria
Description: partial 16S ribosomal RNA
Rfam family: Bacterial small subunit ribosomal RNA
Source: RNAcentral